UGGGGAAUAUUGGACAAUGGGCGAAAGCCUGAUCCAGCCAUGCCGCGUGUGUGAAGAAGGUCCUCGGACUGUAAAGCACUUUAAGUUGGGAGGAAGGGCAGUAAGCGAAUACCUUGCUGUUUUGACGUUACCGACAGAAUAAGCACCGGCUAACUCUGUGCCAGCAGUCGCGGUAAUACAGAGGGUGCAAGCGUUAAUCGGAAUUACUGGGCGUAAAGCGCGCGUAGGUGGUUCGUUAAGUUGAAUGUGAAAGCCCCGGGCUCAACCUGAGAACUGCAUCCAAAACUGGCGGGCUAGAGUAGGGCAGAGGGUGGUGGAAUUUCCUGUGUAGCGGUGAAAUGCGUAGAUAUAGGAAGGAGCACAAGUGGCGAAGGCGACCACCUGGGCUCAUACUGACACUGAGGUGCGAAAGCGUGGGGUGCAAACAGG
This 429-nucleotide ribosomal RNA is filed under the name Pseudomonadota bacterium. RNAcentral's name for it is "Proteobacteria bacterium partial 16S ribosomal RNA". It matches the Rfam family "Bacterial small subunit ribosomal RNA", at positions 355 to 776 of the family's 1533-position model. Lineage: Bacteria; Pseudomonadati; Pseudomonadota. The record is from RNAcentral.